ACAGCUCUGUGGUAGAACACCUGCUUUGCAUGCAGAAGGUCCCAGGUUCAAUCCCUGGAAUCUAUG
This 66-nucleotide transfer RNA is filed under the name Podarcis lilfordi (Lilford's wall lizard). Its description in RNAcentral is "tRNA.Ala". The stretch from base 3 to 58 matches the Rfam family "tRNA", at positions 9 to 63 of the family's 71-position model. From Rfam's summary of the family: Transfer RNA (tRNA) molecules are approximately 80 nucleotides in length. Lineage: Eukaryota; Metazoa; Chordata; Lepidosauria; Squamata; Lacertidae. The record is from RNAcentral.